This 253-nucleotide ribosomal RNA is filed under the name uncultured bacterium. RNAcentral describes it as "partial 16S ribosomal RNA". It matches the Rfam family "Bacterial small subunit ribosomal RNA", at positions 524 to 776 of the family's 1533-position model. The record is from RNAcentral.
UACAGAGGGUGCAAGCGUUGUUCGGAAUUAUUGGGCGUAAAGCGCGUGUAGGCGGCUUUUUAAGUCGGGUGUGAAAUCCCUCAGCUUAACUGAGGAAGUGCGCCCGAAACUGGAAAGCUUGAGUACUGGAGAGGGUGGCGGAAUUCUGCAAGUAGAGGUGAAAUUCGUAGAUAUGCAGAGGAACACCGGUGGCGAAGGCGGCCACCUGGACAGUUACUGACGCUGAGACGCGAAAGCGUGGGGAGCAAACAGG